AUGUCGCAUGUUAUUGAUGAUGCCACUUCUACUAUGCAUGAUACUUAUGCUGAAACUACUUCUAUGCUUGAUACUACUGUGUCAUUAGAUGAAUUUCUUGAUGAACAACUUGCUAGGGCUAGAGAGAAUGAAAUUCUUGAAACUGAUAGUAUUGAUGAAAGUAAUGAUGAAGAUUCUCCCCCUAAAUAUGAAUUACCUGUUGUGCCUGAGGGUUAUGUUAUGGAUGAAGAAAUUGCUAGAGAUUUUCUUGCUUGCAAUGAUAGAUCUGAUCUUAAGAAGUUAUUAGCUAAGCUGAAACAAAAGUCUCUGAAUGCUAGAAUGAAACGACCCUGCUUUUGCUACUUCACCUAUCUGUGUUACUGA
This 363-nucleotide ribosomal RNA is filed under the name Triticum aestivum (bread wheat). RNAcentral's name for it is "partial small subunit ribosomal RNA". Lineage: Eukaryota; Viridiplantae; Streptophyta; Magnoliopsida; Poales; Poaceae. The record is from RNAcentral.